ACGGGUGAGUAACGCGUAGGGAUCUGUCCACGAGUGGGGGAUAACUUUGGGAAACUGAAGCUAAUACCGCAUGAUACCUGAGGGUCAAAGGAGUGAUCCGCUUGUGGAGGAACCUGCGUUUGAUUAGCUAGUUGGUGGGGUAAAGGCCUACCAAGGCGAUGAUCAAUAGCUGGUUUGAGAGGAUGAUCAGCCACACUGGGACUGAGACACGGCCCAGACUCCUACGGGAGGCAGCAGUGGGGAAUAUUGGACAAUGGGGGCAACCCUGAUCCAGCAAUGCCGCGUGUAUGAAGAAGGUCUUCGGAUUGUAAAGUACUUUCGGUGGGGACGAUGAUGACGGUACCCACAGAAGAAGCCCCGGCUAACUUCGUGCCAGCAGCCGCGGUAAUACGAAGGGGGCUAGCGUUACUCGGAAUGACUGGGCGUAAAGGGCGCGUAGGCGGCUUAUACAGUCAGAUGUGAAAUUCCUGGGCUUAACCUGGGACCUGCAUUUGAUACGUAUAGGCUAGAGUGUGAAAGAGGAUUGUGGAAUUCCAAGUGUAGAGGUGAAAUUCGUAGA
This 559-nucleotide ribosomal RNA is filed under the name uncultured Acetobacteraceae bacterium. RNAcentral describes it as "bacterial SSU rRNA". It matches the Rfam family "Bacterial small subunit ribosomal RNA", at positions 102 to 694 of the family's 1533-position model. The record is from RNAcentral. Lineage: Bacteria; Pseudomonadati; Pseudomonadota; Alphaproteobacteria; Acetobacterales; Acetobacteraceae.